GACGAACGCUGGCGGCGUGCCUAAUACAUGCAAGUCGAACGCUUCUUUCCUCCCGAGUGCUUGCACUCAAUUGGAAAGAGGAGUGGCGGACGGGUGAUUAACACGUCGGUAACCUACCCAUCAGAGGGGGAUAACACUUGGAAACAGGUGCUAAUACCGCAUAACAGUUUAUGCCGCAUGGCAUAAGAGUGAAAGGCGCUUUCGGGUGUCGCUGAUGGCUGGACCCGCGGUGCAUUAGCUAGUUGGUGGGGUAACGGCUCACCAAGGCCACGAUGCAUAGACGACCGGUGUGGGGGAUAGGCCACACUGGGACUGAGACACGGCCCAGACUCCUACGGGAGGCAGCAGUAGGGAAUCGUCGGCAAUGGACGAAAGUAUGACCGAGCGACGCCGAGUGAGUGAAGAAGGUUUUCGGAUCGUAAAACUCUGUUGUUAGAGAAGAACAAGGACGUUAGUAACUGAACGUCCCCUGACGGUAUCUAACCAGAAAGCCACGGCUAACUACGUG
Molecule: ribosomal RNA, 508 nt
Filed under: uncultured bacterium
Lineage: Bacteria
Description: partial 16S ribosomal RNA
Rfam family: Bacterial small subunit ribosomal RNA
Source: RNAcentral